CUUCGGAUUGUAAAGCACUUUAAGUUGGGAGGAAGGGCAGUAAAUUAAUACUUUGCUGUUUUGACGUUACCGACAGAAUAAGCACCGGCUAACUCUGUGC
Molecule: ribosomal RNA, 100 nt
Filed under: uncultured bacterium
Lineage: Bacteria
Description: partial 16S ribosomal RNA
Source: RNAcentral